This 228-nucleotide ribosomal RNA is filed under the name uncultured bacterium. Its description in RNAcentral is "partial 16S ribosomal RNA". It matches the Rfam family "Bacterial small subunit ribosomal RNA", at positions 94 to 339 of the family's 1533-position model. The record is from RNAcentral.
AGCGGCAGACGGGUGAGUAACAUGUGGGAAUCUGCCUUUUGGUUCGGAACAACACGGGGAAACCUGUGCUAAUACCGGAUAAGUCCUAACGGAGAAAGAUUUAUCGCCAAAGGAUUGGCCCGCAUUUGAUUAGCUAGUUGGUAAGGUAAAAGCUUACCAAGGCGACAAUCAAUAGCUGAUUUGAGAGGAUGAUCAGCCACACUGGGACUGAGAUACGGCCCAGACUCC